Molecule: ribosomal RNA, 452 nt
Filed under: uncultured bacterium
Lineage: Bacteria
Description: bacterial SSU rRNA
Rfam family: Bacterial small subunit ribosomal RNA
Source: RNAcentral
GCCCAGACUCCUACGGGAGGCAGCAGUGGGGAAUAUUGGGCAAUGGGCGCAAGCCUGACCCAGCAACGCCGCGUGAAGGAAGAAGGCUUUCGGGUUGUAAACUUCUUUUCUCAGGGACGAAGAAAGUGACGGUACCUGAGGAAUAAGCCACGGCUAACUACGUGCCAGCAGCCGCGGUAAUACGUAGGUGGCAAGCGUAAUCCGGAUUUACUGGGUGUAAAGGGCGUGUAGCCGGGCUUACAAGUCAGAUGUGAAAUCCGGGGGCUCAACCCCCGAACUGCAUUUGAAACUGUAGUUCUUGAGUACUGGAGAGGCAGACGGAAUUCCUAGUGUAGCGGUGAAAUGCGCAGAUAUUAGGAGGAACACCAGUGGCGAAGGCGGUCUGCUGGACAGCAACUGACGCUGAGGCGCGAAAGCGUGGGGAGCAAACAGGAUUAGAUACCCCGGUAAUG